This 94-nucleotide ribosomal RNA is filed under the name uncultured bacterium. Its description in RNAcentral is "partial 16S ribosomal RNA". The record is from RNAcentral.
CCGCCCGUCACACCAUGAAAGCUGAUUGCGCCAGACGUCCCAUUAGCUAACUUUAUUGAAGCGUGGGCCCAAGGCUCGAUCGGUGAUUGGGGUG